CGGCUCUUGUGUCAGCUUUUCUGGGCUCAAAUGUUAACUCUUACUUUUUCAGCUGUGUAAACUUGAGUGAGUUACUUAAGCUCUCUCAGUCUCACUUUUGUCAAAAAAUGGGGGUAAUAAUAGUCUAAUUUUGUAAAUGUAUUGGUAGCAUGCUUAAUCAGUACUGGGCACAUGUGCCUAAUACGUGAUAGUCAUUAUUAUUCCAGAAGGUGAAUUUUCUGAAGGAAAAUACUAUUUGUAAUUCACCUUUGUAUCUUCAUAAUCAGGCACAAUUUUGAUAUAUAGCAGACAAUCAAUACAUAUUUGUUGAGCAAUGAAUAUAUAUAAACUAUUCUCUGACUGUCAGAACAUAGUUACUGUAUGGAAGACCAAUCCAGAAACAAGCCUUAUGGUGAAAGGAUUUUAAAAAUUAUGGUACUACUUUCCUUCUUUCUUUUCCCCUUCUUUCUGUGAAUUAGAAUUUUGACUUAGAUAGAAUGCAUGGAUAUAUAAUUAGGUGGUGUUAUUGAAUGUGGAAAUUUAAUAUAAUUAAUUCAUUGAGAAUUCUUUGUUCAGUAAAUAAAUAUUUAUCAAGGGACUGAUACAUGUAGGGCAUUCUUGUAGGUACUGGAGCUGCAAUGUUGCAUUCUUUGUAACUGGAAGCAGACACAAUUUUCUGCAUAUUUCUAAGCAGAGUAAAUGACAGGGGCCACAAAGGCCUGGAAUCUGCUCUGUUUCCUUCUCAUUAAGCCUUCAGGGACAACGUUUGACCAGAGUGAAAAGGGAACAACUGAAGUGUGCUGUUCUCUGUCAGGUCCCUGUUAUUUGUUCCCGGAUGACCUCAACUUUGUGGGACGCAUCGUUCAGACUCCCCUGCUCAGUUUUCUGAGCGUGGAUUGCUGCAGGACUGGGUGUCUUCUCUCUCUCUCUGUUUCUUCUGGUUCUUAGCUCUGUUAGCCUCCCUUUUCUUCCCAACAGAAAAUCUCUUUAACAGACAUGAUCCAAAGUGACUCUGGAAAUUUUCCUGAUUUUCAGGCUUUUUUAAACAAGGUUGGUCUUGAACCAGUGCUUCAGAAUGGAGUGCAGCUCUUGGCUCACUAGUCCUCUUAUUGCAAGCCAUUUCCAUAUCUUUGGCACAUAAUUGACAUUCAUAAGUAAAAGCUGGCUUAUAUCAAUCCUGGUUCAUCUUUAAUUACUGACUCUUCAGAUCCCUAGGACUGAAUAUCUCGCCAUAUGCCCAUUCCAGAAUUGUAUACUGUUCUUCUGUUUGCAGUUGCAAUCCACCCAAAGGUUAGGGUAGAAAAUCUGAUUAUAUUCUCCUUCUACUUUCCCUGACAGAAAUAGUUUAUUCUAUUAUAAUCUUCUAACAAGCACUCUGUAUGGGAAAUAAUCCCUCUAAUAUUUGAGUAUGGCUGUCUAAUCUGAGAAAUGUCAUAUAGUGAAACAACCCUUUCCUUGAUUAGCAACAUUAAUCAGCAACUUAGCCACCCACCCCUGAUGUACUUAUUUCUGUCUCAGUUUCCUCAUAUGUAGAAGGAGAGUCAUAGUAGUACCCAGCACUUAGGCUUGCUGCAUGGAUAAAAUGAAUUAAUAACAUGUAUUGUGCUUAGUAUGCUGCCAGCACUUUGUAAGUGUUCAAUAAAUGAUAGCUAUCAUUGUUCUUAUUCAUAGUAUUACAUAGUCCCCAAGAGACAAAAUGAUAUUAUUUAUAAGUGUGCCUAAUAUGUAUUUUUAUAUAAUUGGAAUAUUGUAGAGUCAUUAAAAAAACCUUUUCAUUUGAGAACAGUUGUAGAGUUACAGAAAAGUUGCAAAGUUAGUAUUGAGCAUUCCCAUAUACCACACACCCAGUUUCUCCUGUUGUUAACACCUGACUUUACUAUGGAAACCUUGUUACCACUAAGAAACUAACAUUGAUAUACUACUCUUAACUCCAUACUUCACUGGACUUCACUGGUUUUUCUCUCAUGUCUCCAUCCUGGGCUCCCAUGUAUGACACUCUAAUAUGCUCAGUCAUUAUGCUUCCUUAGGUCCCCUCUGGCUAUGACAAUUUCUCAGAUUUUCCUUGUUUUUAUUGACUGUCAGUUUUGAGGACUAUUGGUUGGAUAUUUUGGAGAAUGCUCUUUGUUUUGUGCUUGUCAUGAUCGUUUUUUCAUGACAAGACUGGAGUUAUAUGUGCCCUUCUCAUCACAGCUUAUUAUUAAUACAGUAUACACUAUUAAUCUGACUUAUGUUGAUAUUAACUUUGAUCAGUUUGCUGAGGUAAUGUUUAUCAUGUUUCUUCAUGGUAAAGUUAAUUUUACCUUGUUUUAAGAUAUAUUUGUCAUAGACCUUUGGGAUAUGUGCAAAAUUUAAAACAUCUCGCAUGUCAAAUGUAAGAAUACCAAAGGCUUAUUUUAAUAGAGAAGCAUAAUCCUACAUCUCAUUUGGAAUAUAUUCCUUGAAUCCUAUCAGAACCAACUAUUGUGAUGAAAAGAUAGACAGCACAUCACCUCACUACUGCCUCCAACGUGAUUUUGUCCCUGCCUUCCCACAGGUGGCUGGAAAGCUAGACAGGUAGACAGAGAUGAAAUGACUGCAGAAGAAAAAUUGGAAGCUAGCUGAAAGUUGGAAGAAGAAAACCUCACAAACAAAAGUUGGUUUGUGAGGUUUUAAGGAAAGAAGCCAUUUCUGCAACACGAAAGUGCAAGAUAAAGCUGCAAAUGCUGAUGGAGAAGUUAUAGAAAGACAAUUCCAGGGAGUUAAAGUGAAGAAAAACAACAACAAAAUAAUUCAAGUGAAGAGGUGGAGCCCAAAUAGGGCUGUGGUAUUGAGCUGACUCUAGUGUUACACUACGAAAAUGCCUGUAACUGUAUCUCUGGACCAUCCCGGAGAGGAAAGGUUGUGCAUGCUGGGCAUAGGAGCUGAAGAGAGCCCUGUGGUAUCACCAGCAAGGCAGCCCUUGGGCGGGAAGCCAGAGGGGAAGAAAAGGGACUGAAGAUGAAGCAACAUCCAGUUACAUCUGUGUGAAUUUGGUCUGAACACAUGGAAACCUGGAAGAGAGAUGUUAAAAUGGCCUGAAAAACAGGAUAAUUUGUGUUGGAUGCAAAGGUCUUUAUUUCUUUCUGCCAGCAUGAUCUAAAUAUAUCCUAAUACCUCAUGGGCUUAGUCUCUGCACUGCAGAUGUCUUUUUUCUUAUUGAGAUUAUUUCCCUAUUGUAGAUUGCUGGUGAAAUUUCUGCUGCCAAAUGACGAUGCAUGGGGAACGUUCUAAGAUGGGUGAAGAGCCUUAUGGGCCAUGUCUGUAGAGGGAAGAGUGUAAGAACAUUCUUGGAAACACAGUUCUUCUCUCCUUUGACUGCUUUCUUAGGAGUACUCUUUAAGGAGAAUUUCUGCCUCGUUACAAGGAGAUCUCACAUAUGUGAGGGCUGUGUAUUACACACUUGAGAGUGGCUAAGAACAGCUGGCCAUAUAGCUGCCAACAUUACAACUGACAGAAAGAGGAUGCUCUGAAUCAAUGCCCUAGUGAGGAUGUGCAGAAUUCUCUGAGGGGGAUAAAAACACAUUGAAAAUAAUGUUAAGAAAGAAGCCUUUGCUCACAAGACAGUACUUAUUUCAAAUUUCUUGAAAAAUUCUCAGACUGCAGUCAUAAAUAUUACUCUACUUAAAAUACACUGCUAUAUGAGUUAUUUCAUUUGUAAAAAGAAAAAAAUGUAUAACAGAAAAUAUAAACAAAUAAGUUCGUGUGUACUUACUUAAAUUUUAUCCCAGGACUAGAAUCAAGGCAGAUCUUUUUUCUUUCUGGUGGAGGCAGUUCUUUAUCAUGAAAGGUAUAAAUACAUUUUCUCAGAAAAAUACACUUUCCACAUGAACUCUGCAGAGAUGGCUGCACAUACACAGGUUUGCAAGAAAUGUCAGACCCUUGAAGUUUCCCUCUUUAAUAAAUGCAGAAUGAAAGGAUAAUUUGACAUAGUUUCUUAUGAAACUGGUAAUAAGAAUUAACUUUAAGCAAACCCAUUUCCCCAAUAGAAUUGCAUGCUUACUUUCUAACAAAUUAGAUAAAUUGUAUAUGGAACUAUCUUUUUUAAAAAUUUUUGGGCAAUUGUAAAAUUUUCAAAGUAAUUUUUCUGUUUAUGAACAAACCAAUCUAAGUUCAAAGAAAAACCUCAAAAUAUGAGAAAUUCAGGAAGGAUAGGUUAUAUGUUGAAAGUAUAGUAGAGCUGAGAAUUUCCCAAUAUGGAGACAAAAAAGCUAUAGGGAGAUAUGACAGCUUCUGAAAAUGUUAAGGAAUGUUAUCAGGAGGACAGGGACCAAUUCUCCUUAGUCAAUGAGAACAGAAAAGGAAGUAAUGAACUUUAACUAUAGCAUGAAAAUUUAAGUGAAAUAUAAAAAAACUUUUAAACCAUCAGAACAAUUAAGCAAAGGUACAAAUAAUAAAUUCACCCUUACUAAUCAUAUUCAAAGUAGCACUUGAUACUCAUCCAUUAGGGAUAAGUUAGAAAUAAUAAAACCAAUUUUACCAACAUUCUGGGAGUAGAUUAAAUGAUUUAAGAGGGAAUACUUCUCAAAAUCCUCACAAUGUUCUAAAAAAUAGACUCUGAAAAAGAUUAGCUUUUAAAAUAUAUAGGAGGAAAAAAAUAUCAAUUCUACAAAGAGUUGUUAGUUUUCUACCAUAUACAAAACUCAAACUUAGUCUCUCUGGAGGAAAUGAAAAUACAUUCUAAAUGACUCAAGACCUCAAGUCACUUAUUUGCUAGCAAAGUUGUGCUCCAGUUUCUAUUUUAUUACAUAUUGUGAUUACUAAAAAUAUUUUGAGCACUCAAUCCUAAGAAAAGUACAUUUGUUUAUUCAUAAAAUGUAAAAUGUAUUAUGUAUAUUAUAACGUUAAUGUGAUAUAAAUUUUAAAAGAUGAGAUAAGCUAAAUCUUUAAUUAAAAUUUUUUUUAUUUUUAUGGAUACUUAAAGCUUAUACAUACAUAUGGGUACAUGGGAUAUUGUGAUACAAGCAUACAGUAUGUAAUGAUCAAAUCAGAAUACUUGGGAUAUCCGUCACCUCAAGCAUUUAUCAUUUCUUUGUGUUAGGAAGAUUCCAAUUUGACUUAUUUAUUUAAAAUAUAAAAUAAAGUAUUAUUAACUAUGGUCUCCCUAUUGUGCUUUUUAUCCCUCUUCUCCCCACCACCCUUCCCAGCCUCUGAUGAGCAUCAUUUUACUCUCUUUCCAUGAGUUAAUUUCUUAAUGUCCUAUAUAUGAAUUAGUAUAUGCAAUAUGUAUCGUUCUCUGCCUGGUUCAUUUCACUUAACAUGAUGCCCUCCAGUUCUAUCCAUACUGUUACAAAUGACAGGACUUUAUUCUUUUUUUAUGGCUGAAUAAUGUUUUA
Callithrix jacchus (white-tufted-ear marmoset) is the source of this 5330-nucleotide non-coding RNA. The record is from RefSeq and is a predicted model, not a curated record. NCBI's taxonomy places the organism in Eukaryota, Metazoa, Chordata, Mammalia, Primates, Cebidae.